GCGCCGGCCGGCUGCGUGCUGCCGGGAUCCCUCCGCCCGGGGCUGCCCUUUAAAUGUGAGGCGUCCCGUUGCAGGGCUGUUGGUCCCGGCGCGUUAAGGGCAGAGCGGUGCGGUGGCCCCCCCGCCUGCGGUCCUCAGCCUGUUCAGUGCAUGCAUGGAGUGGGCGGACACUGCAUAGCAUGGGACCAGGAGAUGCCAUCUCUGGUCCCAGUGGCACGAAGGGAUCACUGCAGCCCGGCGGUGCAUGGAGCCUUAAGCACCCGAUGCUGCGCCCCCGGGAGGAGCCAUGAGGUAGGUGUGCCACUGCCAUCGACGUGUGAUUGCUUCCAACUGGGGUCACAGAUCAGUUUGUACCGAUGGUUACAAACUUGAAGUUAAACAUCACAAGUGCAUGUGAAAACGAAUAAAAUUAAAGACCAUUUUCUAUCAAAAUCUUCAUAAUUUAUUAAAAAAUACACAUUUUCUCAGUAACAGAUGGUCAAUAAUAGAUGAUAGAUGGCCUCCUCUGUGUAAAUUAAUGGCUGUAAUUCACUUGAGGGCUGCUGCUGAUGUCAUAAGCUGCCAGAGUGCAGCUUGAGUGAUUUAUUAACAGCUGCAGAAAUCCUAGAGUGAAUUACAUCCUUGUAUUCACUUAGGGUCUGCAGAUUGUUAUUUAUAAGACUUGGAGGUUUGUGUUUCUUCUAUAUUAUAGGAAUCUUUUAUAUGAUUGUAAUAUAUGGACAUGGUGCAGGACUGACCAGUGUGGAAGUUCAGCUCCCCGUCUGCAGCAAAGGCAGUCAGAUUUUCUCUACUAACACUUAUCAGCAUCAACCCUUUAUUUUUAAAAGAAGCUAAUCAAUAUCAGCAGAUGUUCAUUUAAAUCCUGCUUUGUGGGCUUUUUUUCCCCCCAAAUGUCAAAUACAAAUAAUGUCAGUAUCUUCUUUCCCAGGAACACCCGUGUUCACUCAGUGUUUGCAGUCACUGCCCCUCUUCACAUUGAGCUAUGUCCAAAACAAAAAGAUAGUUGAGAGGUUGAUGCUAGAGAGGAGUAAGUGCAAUUUCUAUUAAUAUCUUUGUGUAGGAAGGAGGCAACAGAUUCAGAAGGCUAGAAAAGGUGCCUGGAAGCCAGAAUCUCUCACAUACAAGGAAGAGAUUGUCCCAUCUCCUAAUGCUACCUCUACGUAGGGAGAAAACCGUACCUUUCUUCCAUAAAAUUCCUGCUCAGUAAAAGAGAAUGUUUUCUCUGUGGCAGGCCUCAGAAUAUGCUCAUCUUACACAUCAGCCCACCUUAACAUUCUCUCUACAGUGAUCCAUGCUUCCCAGAUUUAUCUCAUCCUUCUAAAACGUGAACAUGUGAAAGCAAAUUAAAUAAUAUUCAUUUCUGUAACCUUCCCAUCCUCCUGAAAAGUGGGAAUAGGUGUUACAAAAUCCUGUUUCUCAAACAAGGGAUAUAUUUCCAACAAGUUAUGUAAGUCCUAGAGGAAGAGUGAAGGGGAAACGAGAAUAAAUAAUGAAGAGUUGCAUGGCAGGAAGGAACAGUCAGAAUUCAUUUGCAAAUGACUAUUAUUUUUUUGCUGAAGAUGUAAAAUUUCUCAACAGAAUUUCACAGUGAGUGUUUGGAUGCUAGCUAGAUUCCAGUGAGAAUACUUCCAGCUUUGUCUCUUAGUUUUAUUUGUCUGUGGUUAGAUCUUGCUGGUCAUUACGAGAAGCUGCAUUUAUUGUCAGCAAGAAAUACUGCUUUGCUACCAAACAACUGCUGUUUUACUUCUGCUUUCAUUCACCAGCAUCUGUCUAUAUGACUGACCUGUCUCUAAGAGGCACAAAUUACGAUUUUUUUUUUUCACAGAAAACAAUUUGAAUAAAAACAGGCUCUAGAAAUUGUUCAGUGCCUUGAGGCAGAGUCCUUUGAAGUCAUUAUGAGUUCACUAAUUUCAGCAAGCCUAUUAUUGCUAUUAUAGCGUCAUGGACAAAGCCCAGUCACUUCGAGAUCCCACUAUGUUAGAUAUUGCAUGAAUGUACAGAAUGGUAUCAAGAAACAGGAAAAAUGUCUUUUUUUCUGCUUUCUGGAGUGGAAUGCUGCCUUCCUGAUUCUUUUGAAAUUGCCUACAGAUUUGUAGUAGCCAAAAUUUGUAUAUCCAAAAGCUUGACUCUUCUUUCUUAGUUUUUAAAUGUUUAGGAGCUACACAUGGGACAGAUGACCAACUGGACCAUAGCCUGUCUGUGAUUUGCAACUUCCAGGUAAUUUCUGAAACAGGCUCCUCUACUUCCUCUCAAAUUGAAUCUGAAUCAGUUUAUUUCCUUUUUCUCUUCAAAUUGAGGUUAGUUUGUUUGUUGAUUUGUUUUUGUUUGUUUGUUUUGUUUUACGUGUUCUGCAUGUCUGCUUGUUAACUUUGGACUCAGUUUAUACGGAGGAUGCGGUGCAAAAAUCUAAGAGCUUGUCAGGUAACAAACUUAAGUUGCACUGAUGUGUCAUUUUCAUGCUUUAUGGUGACAAGUUUUAUUGUCUCCCUGUAGCUCCAUUGUCAUUCAGAGAUUCAUUAUAUUGUCACAGAUUUUCCAUUUUCUUUCAUCAUAUGGAGAAGGAAAGCCAUUAGUUCGGUACUGUUGCAGUACUCAGCACCUUUCUGUAGUCUCCCUUUUAUAGUUGGGCUUUUCCUCCUUGUCCAGAAUGGCAAAUCACUUGAAGAUUGUGGAGUCCCAGGUAAUGAUGUACAUUAUUUCUCCCUGUCUCUGCCUUAUUUCUGUAAGUUCUGAGACAAUUUGUUCCACAAACAGCGGCAAGCAGCCUAAUGCUCUCAGUCCCUCAAUUCCUAUAAAUGACAAAAUGAAGGCAGUUGUCACAUGAAUGGCUACCAAGAGAAACAAUGUGCUAUUUACUAUUUAUAGAUUCAUGGUAAAUAGCAGUGGAGCAGGUUUGGCUAUGCAGUCUCUUUGAAUCAAGCAGACUGCACAUGUAGUAAGGGGGGGAUGGGGGUGGAGUUUCGUGUAUGCAUUACAGAAUUCUAAAGCCAAAAAUUAUGCUAUCUGCAGUUCUGUCACUGAACAGUCUCCAGCUGUGUGAACAGCAAAGGCAAGCUUAGUGUCAAGUGGGUGAAUGCGAACAAACACUCUUUCACCUUGCAAGCUUUGUUACUGUUAAAGAUGGUGUUUUGUUUGUUUGUUUCUUUUAUAUAUAUAUGUACAUCAGGUAUAGCAUCCUGGAAAAUUUCUGGUGGGUACUGCUCAGAAUGCAAUAGAGCAUGCUGCUUGAGGUGUUAUUUGUCUGUGUAUAUUGCUUGAAAGAUCUAUCUCACACUUGAAAAGUGUUUUUAAAAUGAUCCAAAGGGUAUCCUGCUUAUUUCACGCUUUUGUUUGUGAUUUUUGAGGCACUGACUGUGUUCUGCUCAUUAUCUGACCAUAUAAUCUAAUAGUAAUUAUUUUCUGGUCACAGCUUUUGGUUGUAUUGGAGAGAGAUGCUGAUAUUCAGCUUUUUCCUUCUCAUACCAGUCAGGUGAGCCUUUGGUUUUCUCCUGAUGGGGGACAGGUCUCAGGUGCACUUUUGUAAUCCAUGGGAUGCUCACUCCUGUUAGGCUCUAUCAGUACUAAAGACUUACUUCCCAGUGAGUGUUAGAUCCACAUGUGAAUUGUGUUUCCAGUCUGGCAUAAACCACGCAGGCACUUUAGCAAGAAUGAAUCCCAUGAGAAGGGUGUUAAAUCAAGCAUGAUGCUGUGGAUCCCAGUGGAUACCUAAAGCUCGAGCUAUUGUUUCCAGAGAGGUUGCUUUACCCAGGAAUGGUGCAGUGAGGAGAGAAAAUUGCGGGUAUGUAAUUUUAACUUCCUCACAGGGUGAGCAUAAGGAUUUUUCCUUUCCUUAUAAAAACAUUAAAAAUUAGGGGAAAAAAAAAGGACGUUU
Phasianus colchicus (ring-necked pheasant) is the source of this 3871-nucleotide non-coding RNA. The record is from RefSeq and is a predicted model, not a curated record. Lineage: Eukaryota; Metazoa; Chordata; Aves; Galliformes; Phasianidae.